This is a long non-coding RNA of Notolabrus celidotus (New Zealand spotty), 544 nucleotides long. RefSeq lists it as uncharacterized. The record is from RefSeq and is a predicted model, not a curated record. Lineage: Eukaryota; Metazoa; Chordata; Actinopteri; Labriformes; Labridae. The transcript has 3 exons.
GGUUGCGCAAUUCUAGGCAGGCCCAUUUUUAGUGCGUAGCCUAAUGGACCCAAGUUAGUGCGUCAUUAUGACUUUUUGGUGUCUCACCAUAACUCUGACCCUUCCCCUAACAUUAACCCAACAACACAAGGGUCCCAGAGAUGCAGUCCUGAACCUGCAGCCUUUGACUCUGCAGACACUUUAUAUUCAGCUUACCUGUUUGCUGUUCUUCACGAGUUUAUCCGUGAGUUGGAUUAAUCCGAGACUUUGGGUGGCUUCUUUGUAAAAUGUUGCUGGUAAUGAAGGCCACUGAAUGAAUGACUUGAAGGAUACAUGCAAGCUAAAAGGACAAGGUUGCAGGAUAGGUCAACUUCCACAGCCUGUCAGGACUUCCUCAGGAUCAUUGUUUCAGAAGCAAUGAGGCGACGCGGACGACGAUGACUGAGGAUUAACUCCAGACGUCCUAAAUGGGAGUUCAUCGUGCCUUGGAGCUGCAGAUAAGCCCCAAUAAAUUUCCCCAAAUCAACUACAGCAAGAAGUUCAAUGAGUUAAAGUUCAGAAUCAC